ACAUAAAGCCAGUAGGUCAUUAAAACAAUUAAUUUACUCAUUCAAAUAAAAAUGAACACCAUGUAACACCAAAAUCCAAUCAUAGUCACAGGGGCAAGAUUUCAGCAACAGCAAGAGAAAGUAGUACAAACAGGAAUGAGCAACAAUAGACAAUUAAUGGGUGUGAAUUGGCCUGGAAAAUAUUGUGGCAAUGUCCAUAGAUAAAUCAAUAGUUAUUUGUUAUACAAGGGAAAGACAAUGCAUACUCAGUCCAGAAAAGCCACCAGGGGGCGGUCUGGGUCUCUUGGAUUAUAAGAAGCUCAAGAGGGUCAAACAUAAUGAAUCCUGCUCACUGACUCGUGUAAAUGUUAAAGCAGUUGCUUCCUCCCACAGGGCAAAUCCACAGCACACAGCCACCCUGGGCUGGCGCCUCACAGUGUAGUUGCUCUCAGGGCUGUGGACCUAGGUGGUGAUAAAGACAGUAAAGAUUUGCAUACAGCAGCACACAACACACCCCCUCCCUGUGGAGAGCUCAGUAGGAGAUAAAGAGCCAUCAGAAUCCAGCCCCAGCUCUGGAGCCAGAGAUCCCUUCCAAUAUCAGCACCAUGGCCUGGACUCUGCUCCUCCUCCAGUUCCUCCUCACUUGCUGCCCAGGGUCCAAUUCUCAGGCUGUAGUGACUCAGGAGCCCUCACUGACUGUGUCCCCAGGAGGGACAGUCACUCUCACCUGUGCUUCCAGCACUGGAGCAGUCACCAGUGGUCACUAUUUUCACUGGUUCCAGCAGAAGCCUGGCCAAGCCCCCAGGACACUGAUUUAUAAUACAAACUACAAACACUCCUGGACUCCUGCCCGGUUCUCAGGCUCCCUCCUUGGGGGCAAAGCUGCCCUGACACUGUCAGGUGUGCAGCCUGAGGACGAGGCUGAGUAUUACUGCUGGCUGCACUAUAGUGGUGCUCAGCACAGUGACAGACUCAUAAGAGGAACCAAGACAUAAACCUCCCUAGGCUGUUGUGAUGUGGAGAUCACAUGAUCAGACACGCCGGUUCCCAAGACAGCCUACAUGGGGAGCAGCCAUAGAAAGGCGAAGGAAAGGGUCUGAGUUGAUUUCUAUCUCUGCUUGUGCCUUGAAGUGGAGGAAAUGUGAGAGGGAUUUGCUGUAAUUGAAUUAGAACAAGAAAAAAUUAAUUGUUUUAUAUUAAAAACAAGAAAACAGAAAGAGCAUGUUCAGAUCUAAAGGCUGAGUC
This is a non-coding RNA of Chlorocebus sabaeus (green monkey), 1224 nucleotides long. NCBI's taxonomy places the organism in Eukaryota, Metazoa, Chordata, Mammalia, Primates, Cercopithecidae. The record is from the annotation of a RefSeq genome assembly.